This 598-nucleotide long non-coding RNA is filed under the name Vulpes vulpes (red fox). RNAcentral describes it as "lncRNA (ENSVVUG00000014178.1)". The record is from RNAcentral. Lineage: Eukaryota; Metazoa; Chordata; Mammalia; Carnivora; Canidae.
GCAUUUACAUAAUUUUUUAAAGUAAAUAUUGUUGGUUUAAGAUGUUUAUAGUUAUAUGAUUUCUUUAUAAGCUGAAACAUCUGUGCCUGAGCCAUCACCAUACUGCAUUCAGAAGUAAUCAAAACUAGUUCCAGUGCAUUGAAGAAAGGAUUUCUGAAUCAAUGGAAAUUAAGAAUGGCUGCUAUGUAAAUAUAUUCAGAGCACAGUGGAGUCAAAAGUUUGUUGUGGAUUGAGAGAGUUGAAGUUUGAAGAUGGGAAAAAAUGCAGGAAUUUAGGAAGGUGCGGUGCAACACUGAUGUAAGAAUUUCCUGGGGAUUCACCAUGAAAGCAUUUUAUUCUCUGCGGAAACAUUACAGCCCUGUGAGUAAUGCCAUGGAACCAAAAGCUUGUUUAAUUGGCAGUGGAAAGAAGCCAUUUAACAGGUACCAAAGCAAGUCUUUCAGGUAUAAUAUGAAACCAAGUGAAAUAACUAACAUCUUUGAAUAGGAUGAUAUUUCCCAGUGUGUUAGUAUUUUUAUUUUUCCCUUUAGUCUUUCUUUUUAAACACCUGAAUCUAAUUUAUAUCAUUCAGAUUAAAACACGCAAAGCUUGAGUGGAA